CCGCCCCCCGAUUGCUCCCUUUGCUCCAGUUCAGCGCUAAAGAGCAGGUUUUCUUGCGGAAAGCAGCGGGGCAAGUGGAAAAUCGCUUGGACUUGCACUUUCUAGCCAUGGAACAAGCCCUGAGGAUGGUAAACACCCUGUAGACUUUUCCUUCUCUCAAAGCAUUCAUGCAAUUAAAAAGCAAGGUUAGCUAUUAACUCUAGAAUACUUUAUAAGCUUCAUGUCUUUACUUUUAAAGCUCUUCAUGAUCAGUCUUCCUAUCACUUAGCCUUCGUGGCCCUGCUAUAGACCUAGUCACUCUGUUCAUUCUUCUGAUUCUGUGCUUAUUCAUCCCAUGGUUUCUUGCACUUUAUUAUCAUCCUUUCUGUCUUCCAGAUGCUUGGAAUUCUAUUCUGGAACACUCGCAGGCUGCCGCUCACACUGUAUGAUUAAAAUCUCUCUUACAUAAGUACAUAAGAUGAGCCUGCUGGAUCUUUAUGCCCCAUCUAGUCCAGCAUCCUCUUCUCAGUGACCAACCAGGUGCCUGGGGAAAACCAGCAAACAGGAUUCGAGCACUGUCGCCUCCAGUGGCUUCCAGGAGCUGGUAUUCAGAAGUAUUGCUACCUCUAGCUGUGGAGGUAGAGCAUAGCCAUCACGGCUUGUAGCCAUAUUCACAGAGGAGAGGGUUUCUUGCAGAAGAUUCAUCACCCAGAUCCAGACAUCUAUACAUACUCCCCCCCCACACACACACACAUGGGAAAACCAACCAAUU
Molecule: non-coding RNA, 751 nt
Organism: Podarcis lilfordi (Lilford's wall lizard)
Lineage: Eukaryota; Metazoa; Chordata; Lepidosauria; Squamata; Lacertidae
Source: the annotation of a GenBank genome assembly